GAAAUGCGAUAACUAAUGUGAAUUGCAGAAUUCAGUGAAUCAUCGAGUCUUUGAACGCACAUUGCGCCCCCUGGUAUUCCGGGGGGCAUGCCUGUCCGAGCGUCAUUGCUGCCCUCAAGCCCGGCUUGUGUGUUGGGCCCUCGUCCCCCGGCUCCCGGGGGACGGGCCCGAAAGGCAGCGGCGGCACCGCGUCCGGUCCUCGAGCGUAUGGGGCUUCGUCUUCCGCUCCGUAGGCCCGGCCGACGCCCGCCGACGCAUUUAUUUGCAACUUGUUUUUUUCCAGGUUGACCUCGGAUCAGGUAGGGAUACCCGCUGAACUUAAGC
Molecule: unclassified non-coding RNA, 324 nt
Filed under: plant metagenome
Description: partial contains 5.8S ribosomal RNA, internal transcribed spacer 2, and large subunit ribosomal RNA
Rfam family: 5.8S ribosomal RNA (bases 1-105)
Source: RNAcentral